This 597-nucleotide ribosomal RNA is filed under the name uncultured Glomus. Its description in RNAcentral is "bacterial SSU rRNA". It matches the Rfam family "Eukaryotic small subunit ribosomal RNA", at positions 523 to 1116 of the family's 1831-position model. The record is from RNAcentral. Lineage: Eukaryota; Fungi; Glomeromycota; Glomeromycetes; Glomerales; Glomeraceae.
AAUUCGAUUAUGGAUCCCCAAUACUUUGGAGGGCAAGUCUGGUGCCAGCAGCCGCGGUAAUUCCAGCUCCAAUAGCGUAUAUUAAAGUUGUUGCAGUUAAAAAGCUCGUAGUUGAAUUUCGGGAUCAGUACGCUGGUCGUGCCUUCGGUAUGCACUGGUGUCACUGGUUCCUACCUUCUGAAGAACCAUCAUGCCAUUCAGUUGGUGCGGCGGGGAAUCAGGACUGUUACUUUGAAAAAAUUAGAGUGUUUAAAGCAGGCUCGCGCUUGAAUACAUUAGCAUGGAAUAAUGAAAUAGGACGUUUGACCCUAUUUUGUUGGUUUCUAGAACUGCCGUAAUGAUUAAUAGGGAUAGUUGGGGGCAUUCAUAUUCAGUCGCUAGAGGUGAAAUUCUUGGAUUGACUGAAGAUGAACUAUUGCGAAAGCAUUUGCCAAGGAUGUUUUCAUUAAUCAAGAACGAAGGUUAGGGGAUCGAAAACGAUCAGAUACCGUUGUAGUCUUAACAGUAAACAAUGCCGACUAGGGAUCGGGUGACCUCUUUGUGAUGUGUCGCUCGGCGCCUUACGGAAACAGUAUUGGGGAUCCAUAAUCACUAGUG